Long non-coding RNA from Cuculus canorus (common cuckoo), 11889 nucleotides. RefSeq lists it as uncharacterized. The record is from RefSeq and is a predicted model, not a curated record. NCBI's taxonomy places the organism in Eukaryota, Metazoa, Chordata, Aves, Cuculiformes, Cuculidae. The transcript is spliced from 4 exons.
CCCGGCUCCGGGCCGGAGCGCGGCCCCUGGGGUGGGCUCACCUUCCCCUUCCCUCCCCAGCUAAACCUCCAGCCCCCAAACUGCUGACGGCUUAAUUAUUGCAUAGGAUAAUUAGCACGAAGAACCAGACUGAGCCCUCUCCAAACUCAUUUCACUGAGGAAAUCAAUCUGAUCCCUCCCAACGGGCUCCGCUGCCAAACUUAAUUCCAAAUAAUUGAAUGGAGAAGUGCUUUAAUGUUUCGGAGGGGCGAACGCAGGGAGCCGGUGACCGUCCCGCGGCGGGUGCCGCUGCCUGGGUGCCCGCGCCGCCGGGGCUGUGGUCCCGGCUGGAAGCGGGUGAUCAGAAUGGAGAGAGCACGCGUUUCUCCCCGCUCCAGGAACCCAGCUCCCACCUGGGCACCGGCCGAAGGCGGCGGCGCUGCUGGAGACGGAGCAGGACGGGCACGGAGCGGGCAGGAGUUUCCUCAUCUUUUCCUUGGAGGUGGUCAAAUUUCAAACGCUCCGAAGCAUUGUCCUGAUGUGUGGCUGCAUCUUGGGAAUAUCCCAAAAACCCUGAGAUGCAGACCUGGGAUGAAGGUUGUGUAGGAACCAGUUUGCUUGCGAGAGGCUGGGAUGGGUAAGCAGAGUUGGAGAAGCAGCGGUGGGGAGGCUCCGGUGAAGAGGCAGGGAGGGAAUGGCAAGGAUGGGAUGGCUGGGAUGGAGCAACAGAGAUGGAUGCUCCAGCAUUGCUUCCUUCCUUGCUCUGCUCCCAUCCAUCCCAGUGGCACCAGUGGGUCAAGGGGCUCCCCGCUGCGGGAGGACCUGGCUCUUUGCAGAGCAGCCACAGCUCUGGUGAGACGGGGACAUGCUCAGAGCCGUGUUCCUGAGCCUGAUAUUUCAGCUUUCCCGGUUUUGUUACAAAUCCAGAACUGAUCCUGUUUAAUACUAUUUAGCAUCCGUUACAAAGGAAGCUGUGCUAAUGCUGUAUGACAGUCAUUCCUCUCCUCCCUCUGUGCAGGUGUAGCUGAUUUUAUUCGUACUGGUUUUCUGCAUUUGUUGCAGGCUCUAUGAAGUUUUUCAACAACCAGAAAAGUUUGGGAACUUGGAAAGAUGACGUGUGAAACUGGGAAAAUGCCCUUUGGAGCUUGCGGUCCCGCCUGGAGGGGCAGUGCUGGGGCCAGGACAGCCUUUCUCCUCACCAGGCUCAGGUGUCCCCGGCACAGGCUUUGCCUGUCCUGCUCACUGACGCUUUGGGUGUCCGCACCCCGUCCAAAAGCAUUUAAAGUGGAUGUUCUUCCUCCCAUCCCAGCUCACCAUCAGGCUUUAGAGGAAACCUAAGUAGAUAAAUCAGUGCAGUGAGCAGGUGUGGGAGAGCUUUUCCCGUGCUGCUGCAGUUGGAGGGAGGCUUUGAAGCACAGACCGCUGGAUCCCAGAAGGACUGCGCAGAGCCAUGGAGGGACAGGCAUUCCCUCUGCCCCACGGGCACCUUGGUCACCCUGUGAGCCGUAUCCCUGGGAAGGACUGGGAUACACGGUGGAAAUGUACUGGGUGGGAGUAGCGGGGUCUGUCAUGAGGGCUGCCGCAAGAUGCUACGUGCUCCGGACACCACUCUCCUGGGAAAAUGCGGUGGGUUUGGGUGGCAGGCAGCCCUCCAGCCUGGGAGAGAGCCAGCCCGGGCAGGGAUGUGCCCAAAGCGCCCAGACGUGCCGGUGCUUCCCGACGGCCGAGCGCUCCCAGCCCGCUCAAUGGGAGCUUUCAGUCCUUCCUUCUCCUUCCCUUCGCGCCGUGCCCCGCAGCCAAGUCAGAACCCCGGCUUUGUUCACAUUUUUGAAAAUAAAUCAUUUUUGGGGUGAAUUUCAUGCCACUGAAUAACGCCAGCGGGACGGUGGCAGGGACUAUAAGGGCUCCCUUAUUUGCGGGAGGCGCCCAGCCGCAGGCAAAGCCAUUCCCGGGGAUGCUGAGCACCCUGCGCUGCCCUGGUGCUGGGGAGCGGCUCGUGUCCCCCGCGGUGGCUGUCACCCCCCCUGUGCUGCUGGGGGGGCCCAGCCUGUGUCCCCAGAGCUGCCACCCCAGCAGCGCUCGCUGCACACGGGGCUCGGCUUCUCAGCGGCUCUGCCAGCCAGGGCUCGGCACUGCUGGUGCGUUACUGGGAAGGACUGGGAUACACUGGAGGAACGACGGGUGCUUCAAGGCGAGGUGGAGCAGGGGAAGGGGCCUGGGAGUGGGGCCCAUUCCUGAAACACAGAUAGCUUUGAUAAUUAGCCAGGACUGUGAAGGGAAAUGAUGAAAGGUAGAAAGGAUUUGUUUAAGCACGGCCUGUUUUAUUGCUUUCCUCUCUCAAAGUCUCUCUUUAAAGUGGUUGGGAGAUUUUUUUUUUUGCUCUUAUUUUGCCUCAGAUGUUGAACUUUAAUUACAACCAACACACUGCCAUACCUGUAACGUGGAUAAAUCAUGUAAAGGAUUUUCCCAGGGAUUCCUGCUCUCCCCACCUCGCUGUCGCACACGGGGGUCGCAGCGGGGACCCCGGCUCAGCCCCGCGGGUGCUGCACAUCUCGGUGCUGCCGCCGAGCUCUUGCUCAUAAUCCAGAGCCGAGGCUGGGAUGAUCCCGGCAGCCCCACUGCCGUGGGGCCGUGGGGCCGCCGCUGCUCGCAGGCUGCUGGCCAUGCCCGGCUGCUUUUGUUAGCAAGGGGAAAAUCUGCCACCUUUUCCCAUCACACAGGAGCUGUGAUGCUUCACCCUCCUGGACCCGCAGGUGAUGCAGGGCUGAUGGCAAACCGUGGUUUUUCCCCUCUUCCCAGCCCUGCCAUCCCCUCUGGCUGCUGCCGCCUGGGGAUGGUGCACAAACCCCUCGGACACGGGGCGCCCAACGCUCUCAGCACUCACCUUCGCACAUCUCCUGCUCACCCACAAUUAUUGCAAGGGAUCAUUACAGUCUGUGUGCACUAAUUGCUGCAAUAGUGCCUUUCCUGGGAGGGAAUUGGAGCAAUAGUUUGGUUUGAUUCUCUUCUCCUCACGGUUGAGGUGGAUGUGGUUGAACUUUCUGGGCCAGGGCAGCGGUGCUGCUCGCUGGGCUCAGGCUGUCUGCUCCCACCAGGAAGGACUGAAGCUACAGGAGAGCAGCAGCUCUGCAGGGACAGCCGGGAUGCCGAGGGGCUCAGCUGGUCCCCACGGGGGCCGGAGGGGUGGGUUCUGGGGUCUGGCUGCAAACAGACACAGGGUGGUGGAGCACCGCCAGCUCUGCUGUGGAUGGCAAAGCAACGUCGUGCCUUGCCCCGGCUUGGAGAGGAGGAGAAGCGCGAUGCUGUUGCGUGCCCCAGCAGCCCUGACCUAGCUCUUCUCCCGGUAUUGAUUAUUCUAAUAUAUUUAUUAUUCAUGAUACGCCGUAAGUACUCAGGGGGUUUUAUAGGCAAACAAAAGCGGCGGGUGAUGCCCUGAGGUGCUGCCCCUCAUCCCUCAUAAGUGACUCUGAGAGCUCCCAGUGCAUUCCAGAGCUGCCCCCCCCCAUCACCCCCCAUUGGGGUGCGCACAGACAGGGUGUGGGAGAACCCCAGCAGGGACAGGACCACAGCUUAACAUCAUCUGAUCAAAACCAGGGAGAUGCUGUAGAAGGCUGGAUAGGAAAGAGCUCAAUUAAGAUAAAAUCACAGGGAAUUGAUUAAUAAUUAGUGGGUAAUUAGUUAUCUCCCUGCCAUCUGGAGGGCUGAAUCUGCUUGUGAAGCAAGCAGCUGUCUGCUGGGUGUCCCUCACCACCCGGGCUGCCCUGUGCUGCUGGAGGGAGGCCCUCGCCGGAGCCCACAUCUCCUCCAGCAUCUCCAUUUUGGGUACCUCUUGCUCUCUGAGUUGCAGAAAGAGGCCUGGAAGCACCUACUUGUUGCUUCAGCUCUUAUUUUCUGGUUUUAUUCUACAAAGCUGUGAAGGGAGAGCUCUUCCAUGGACCCGUCCUUGGUGUGUGGUGGUCUGAGUUACUGAAGAGCUCAUGUGCAUCUUCUGCUUGAAGCUGGAACAGCCGAUGCCCAGCCUCUUCCCCAAGAAGGAGGAGGAACAAAAGGGCUUUGAAGACACAAUGAAGAUGAACACCAUCUGCAGGCACCCAGAGGUCUGUGAGUUGUGGGAUGGAGCCCAUAUCCCACCCUCCAGCAGUGGGGAUGGAGAUGUGACCCAUGAACAUGGGCGCUGUGCAGAGCUUGUGGGGCAGGAGGGGUCACCCCUGGCUGGUGAGGGCUUAGGAAAAGCUGCUGUCCCUCUCUUUCUUUCAGAAACUGGAUACUGAGCAUCAGCUCAUCCUUCCGCAGCCUUGGUAGGCGGUGAUGGGGAGGUGUUGCUGUGGGUGGCUCAUUCUCCAUAGGUGUCUUACUCACAGGGGCAGGACCUGAUGCUGUGCAGCACCAGGGAGCUCUUGCCCUCCCUGCUGGGUUUCAAGAUGAAGCCCAUGGACCAUGAAGCCACACAUUGAUGUAGCUCCUGGGUUCAAGAGAGAGCAAGGUGCUUGUUUCCCGUUGCUCCCUGCCUCAUGGGCUCCGGAAGUCCUUGCUGCUCAUUCAUUGGCCUCAGGAGAGGGACAGCAUACUGAAGGAAGGUCACAGAAGAGAGCAGGUGAAGGUUCUCAGCUCCAGGGUGGGAGGGAGACGUGGUUCUGGUGUUAGGGAUUUGCUGGUGUUCACCUGCCUCUCCUCCAGCCCCUGCCUUGAUCAGCAAUACCAUCCGCCACUUUCUGCUCUCCCCUUAAUCUCUGCCAUUUGUAAAAUCUGAGUCAUGCCAAAGUCGUUGCGAGACUUUGUGCAUAUUUAUUACUCCUUUCGAAGGAGAAAAAACGCUCGAUGAAUAGUGAAUAUUAACAGCUUGGAGAGAUGGACUGACACCACCAGAAGCUUUGGGUGUAUGCUGGCUUGCAUCCUGCCCCACCAUCGCUCCAUCUGGUCCAGAAUGGCUGAAUUUCUGCACCCACUUGGUCUGCUUCUUGGUUUUGGCCAUUGCUUCAUCCCUGACGAGGUUUUGCCCUCUGCAAACAGAGCGGAGCAGAGCCAAGAGCAGGCGGCAGGGCAUCCGCGAAAUCCAUCACAUCAAUGGGAAGUCCCUGCCAGCACCAGCGAGCCUGGGCUGCAGCCAGGUUCUUCUGUUGAUGUUUUAAUGACGCUAAAUGCAAUUAAGGAUGAGAGAGAGUAGCAUUAAAUUAAAUAAAGUAUCAAAGGCUCGAAGAUUCUUAGCUGAUGGGGUCAUAACUGCCUUUUGGGUUUCUGUGGGCAAGUGGCAGGUGUUGCUGAAUUGCCUUCUACCCGUAGAGCUGUUGUCCUGUCCUUCUGCCUGUCCGCUGCCCACUGCAGCGUGGGUUGACGGGUCCUGACCUUGUGGCACACCAACCCUGAGCUCAGAGGCACAGCACGCAGUCCCCCAGCAUCCCAACCCCUGUGUCCUCUCUCACUGCUGUCCUCACCAAACUGAGCCUUGUCCCAGCUGGUGAUGGGAUGUCCAGUAGCUAUUGCCCCACCACUGGGAAGCUCCAGCUGUGUCGUGGAGGGGGUUUUAAUAGCUCAGCUCCACCAGUCCUCAAAGGCCAAACACUUCCGACUCCUGCAGGGUCUGGAAGAGCUGAGGACACCCAGUGCGCAGCUGGAGCUGUGAUGGGGCAGCUGUGAUCGUGCUUAGAACAAGAGGAAAUGGUCUGAAGUUGUGCCAGGGGAGGUUUAAACUGGAUAUUAGGAAAAAUCCCUUCACAGAAAGGUCUGUCAAGCAGUGGAAGAAGCUGCCCAGGGCAGUGGUGGGGUUGUUAUCCCUGGGGGAUUUAAAAGCUGUCUGGAUGUGGUGCUCAGGGACGUGGUUUAGAGGUGGAGUUGGCAGUGCUGGGUUCAGAGUUGGGUUCAGUGAUCUUAAAGGUCUUUUCCAACAUUUCCAUGAUUCGAUGUGCAGGGCAGCCACCGAAGUUCCCCAGUGCCUGUGGGCUUGGUAGCUCAGCGUUGGCUGGAUCCGUCUGGGGCCGGGCAGCCGCUGAGCCCAGGAGCGCUGCCUUCGGGCACGGUGUCCGUGUGUCUGCCCAUGCUGAAUCGCCUCUGCCUGCGCCUCGAGCCUUACCAGGGGGGCAAGACGGGAAUAAAGGGGGGUUGAUGGGCUUGUGCUAAUUGCCAGGCUUCACUCACACUGGCGCAAGAGGCGUGCUGAGUGGCGGGCUUACAAUCAGCGUUAGCGUCCCUAACGAAGUCCCGUGGGCUUCCCACCUUCCCUUGCUCCUUUUAUUGCAGCCACGGCUCCCAGAGACUUUAAAGCUCCUUUUGUUAGGGACUAAAAGGGGCCUUAAAAUCAUAAUUUAAAAUGGAAUUAAAUUAAUUUAAAAGGGAGGCACUCAAGGCUGUCUUUCUUCUAGCCCUGACAGGUUUUCCAUCCACAUUUGCCUCACCUGAGGAGGGCUGGGCACGAACGCACGUCUCUCAGGUCUGCCCAGGGGAGAAUUCUUUGCCCGCUCCCCACGGAGCGCAGGGAUGUCUGCCUGGAGAAUGGUGCCUGUCCCCUGUCCUGAGCACUUCUCUUGGCUGCUGGACACGGGGACGUAGCAGAGCAGAAGAGAUCUGCUGUGGUGGUCCGGGAGCAUCGUAACGUCUGGGAGCAGUAGUUGCUCCAGCCCUGGUUAUCCUUGCUUUCUCAGCACAGGCAGCAGCACUGAGCUCCAGCUCCGAGGCUCUGCGUGCAAAACCCAAUGCACAGGGCGAGAAAUGCACCAGCCUGAUCCUGGGUUAUUUUUUGCCCAUUUCUGAAAAUUAUAGCUUAGCUGAUGGAUUUUCAGGCCAGAAGGGACCACCGUGACCAGCCAGGCUGACCUCCUGCUUUCCACAGCCCGCUGCCUUGGCAUAAAACUCAUCCCUUUUGCUCAAGCUGAAACGUAUUUUUUUGAAAGAUACUCAGUCUCCGUUAAAAGACCUGGAGUGAUGGAGAUUCCACUCGGUCCCUGGGGAUUCGUUCCAACGCUUAAUUGCUCUGACUGCUAAAAAUGUGCUUCUUAUUUCUAAUCUGGAUUUGUCUUGUUUCGGCUUCCAGCUAGGGAUGUUGUAAUGCCUUUUCCUGCUAGAUUAAAGAGCCGUCUGCUAUCAGAAAUCUCUUCCUCGUGCAUAUGCUUGUAGACCGUGAGCAAGCCACCUCUUGGUCUCCUCAAUAAACUAAACAGCCGGAGCUUCUUCACUCUGUCACUGUAAUGCAUAUUUUCCACUGCCUUGACUCACUCCCAGCUCUUUUCUGAACCCAUUCCAAGUUCUCCUGCUCUGGUUGGAAGCAUAGACGAGAGCACUGAAGGCAGCAUCUUUGCAGCGGGCUCCUCGUGCCAUGUGGCCGGGUAACAGCAUUUCUCCCUCCUCCUUUGUGGCUGCAGCCAAGGAUGACGCUCAUCUCCUGAGCCCGUGUACGCACUGCUCAGGCUGCGGGGCCGCGCUGCCGCUCAGCGGCGUUGCCUGCCGGGGUAGGCACGGGCAGGACAGUGAUGCACGUGCACCUGCCGGGUUUGCAGGACCUCAGCAUUUUGAAUUGACUGAGCUGGAGGCCAAGAUGCUCAGGACAGGAACCACCAGCUCCACUCCAGGCUUGGCUCCUGCCCAAGAGAUGGAAGGGAGAGGAAACCCAGCCACCCCCAUAACGCCCUCCUAUCCCUGUCCUCUUUCACCCAGUUUCCCAUGUUUGGGGCUGAAACGAGGUGGGAUUUAUAAAGGCCAAGCGCAGCUCGGUGGGGUUUGAUAGGGGUGGCUGUGGGAACGAGGAGGGGGAGAGGAAGGGCUGGCUGUGGUCCAGCUCAUCAUUAAAAGUCAGCGUGGUGGGAUUCACCCACCGCCUCAUUAGUGCUGGGAUUCUUGGAGCUGUUGGAGCUGUGAGAGCGGCUCCCUAAGAGAUUAAUCAUCUGUGACCCAUCGGGGCUAUGUUUUGGUCUCCUUUCUGAAGCCCAUCCUGUUCCCGUUCCCUACCCACGGAGCAGGCUCGGCUCUGAUGCCGGCCAGAGGUCGGUAUUUCUCUUCCCUUCAGAACAAUGGAGCACUGGGCUGCAGCAGCCGACACAUAGCAGCGUGCUGAUGGUUGCCAGCUGUGUUGCCUUAACAUCUUCCCAUUAUCUCCGCAUUGCUGGCCAGCCCUGUCUUGGGGGAAGCUUCGGCCUGAUUUUGGCAGAGGAAGGAGUCUCCCUCCCAGCAUGGAAAGUUGGCCGGGUGCUGGCUCGCUCUGCCCCGAACAUCUGCUGCCGGCUUGGCAGGGAGCGGGGCUGCACGCCGGCGCUGACACAGGGGUGUACAGGAACACACACAGCCGUGCCAUACCAUGCCGUGCCAUACCAUGCCGUGCCAUGAUGCUGAGCCAUGCGGUGUGGUACCAUGGUGUGCCGUGUUGUGCCAAGCUGUGCCAUGCUGCAGCGCGCCAUGCCUCUCUCACCAUGCCGUGCCACGUCAUGCCAUGCUGCGCCAUGCCAUGCCCAGCACCCCGCCCGCCACCUCCCUGCACAGGGCUGGGGAAUGCAGCACCCCGACACCCCAGCAGCAGCUGCCCAGCACACACCCGCACGCACGCACCGGCUCGUGUGUGUUCCCACCGCACGGCCGCCUCUGCCUGACCCCUGCCGCAGGCACCGCUCAGGUGCACGCAGGGGUGCAGACAUGCGCACCCGUCACUGGUCGCGCGCACGCACGGCUGCAGAGCAGAGCUGGUCUCUGAGUGCAUGAACUGCUUUACAUCAAAGCAGGAGCAGCCAGAGCCUUGGGUGAGUGCAAACAAACCCCUUUGCCAAAGCCCUCGGUGGUUACGGGUGCAUGUAUUUCCUCCUGUUACUUUCUCAUGACUUGCUUCACCAUGUGCAGACUGAGACCAGACCCAGAAAAGGGGAAUUGCGCCAAGAAAAGCCCUCUCUGCUUGGUGCAGAUGCCUGAAACACAGAGGGGCUGGGGCUGUACCCAAAAAGCAGGGUGGCCUUUGCCAAGGGCAAGGUGGCGCACCUGGGACAUCCCCUCCUCUUGUCUGGAAGAGUUUAUUUCAGCUCUUGGCAGAGGCCACUCAGUGAGCACUGGUGCUCUCUGGAUGAACUCCCAGGCCCAAAUCAGUUGAGGGAGGGAUUAAGCCCCAGGGCUGGUCCUGGCCACAGAGCUGCAGAGCAGGGUGAGACACAGUGGCCAGACCAGCAGGUCUGGAUGAACCAGGGGUGCUCUGGCCAUGGACCUGCAGACAGGCUGGGUGCUGGUGGAGAGUGGUGCGAGCACCGAGAGGAAAGCAGGGAGCUGUGGAGAUGGGGCAGAUGGGCAUCACCUGCGUUGGCAGCUCCUUGCUCUUCUUGCUUCAAUACACGAGGCAAUAAAGCCUGCUGAAAAUGCAACAUGCUGCAUGUAGCUGCAAUGCUCCUAGGGCUGCGGGGGAGCUGUGUGCUCUUUGCUCUGUGUUACGGAGCAGGGCCAGCCUGCAGCAGCCCCAGCGUCGUGUCCUGCCCUGCCAGUGCCAACCCACUCUGUGCCCGGGCUCACCGAACCAGCCCCAGUGCUGGAAGCCACACUUUCGCUGGGGAAAGCAGCAGCCCGGAGUCGUGGAGCUGCUCCUCCAAAUCCAGGGGCCACGGAGGAGCCGUGCAGCGGGAAGGAGACGGGGAUGCUGGGUGAGGGCCCCUGCUGAAGGCAUAGCACGAGAGGGAAAACGAAAGUCCCAAAUAAUCUGAGAACCUGAAUGCCUCUUGCUGUUCAGGUUUUGUGAACAUCCUUAACGGAAACACAUGUGCAAUGCUCUCUCUGUGGAUCUACCCGAGAAGCCUUUUCCGUUUUUGCUGCGUUAGCAAACUGCAGACGACUCUUUCUCUCCUCCAUGAACUACUGAGCAGGGACCCUGGACUCUCUCCUCCAUUUUCAUUCAGAGCCUCUGCCAGCAUCAUAAACCCAGUAAAACGUUAUGGCACUUUGCACCCACUGGGAAACCAAAUGUAUUUUAAUGUAUAUUUAAUAGAUUUCAGGUCUUUCUGUUAUUAAAUUUGCUUUUCAUUCGCCCCCUCCCCCUCUCUUUGGUGCAUGAGACUCAAUGGGAAAUUCUAAGUGUAUUAAACCAGCAUCUCGCAGAAACAAAUCCAGAUGGCCUGGUACAAAUCAGGAAAAAAAAUCGCAUCAGAAUCCAUUAGAAUCUCAGCCCAAAUGCAUUGCACAUUUCGCCAGGCAGAGACCGCCCCGUUACUCCGCUCCUUGCUACGCGACAGCCAGGAAACAUGUGCCUUCUUCUCUGGGCUUCUUGGGAAGGCGAUGGGUUUCACAGCCUGGAAGCCGCAGAUUCCCCUUCGGUGUGCGCCGGUGGAAGCAGAACCCGGAGGGGUCAGAUGGGGCAUUCUGGUUUUCUCUCGCUCUAACCGGGAGCAGAACUGGACCCUCCAGCCAUGGCUGCCUCAAGGGAGGGGAGGGAUGGUGCAAAUCUCCCGGGAAUCCUCCUCCUGCCUGCGGCUUUGCCGGCACCAGAAGAUGCUCAGCAGAUUGCGUUGGCCACCCCCUGCCUGGAGAUGCGUUCUUGGAGCGAGGGUCCUUGGGGUAUGCGGGGUGGACAGGAUUGCUCGCAGACUCUUUGUAAGAUAAAUAUGACCAUUGCUCCCCAGGAACUCAUUUUCCACGCUUUAUUAGUAUUUCAGACCACAGCUCCUACCAUUCUGGUGAAGUACAGCCCAGGUGACCAGGUGAAAAAGAGAUUGUUUUCCUUUAUUCUGGAGCGAAUGCCGGUAGCCGGUGGGUCGCAGGGGCAGGAGGGAGCUGAGAUGGGGGACCAGAAUGGGCAAUGUUAUUUAUUCCAUCUGCUCUGACAUUUGUGAAGUGCUCCUCUGUGGAAUUUCCCCCUGGUCUCCGUGCCCGUUCCUCCCGCGCGCUCAGCUGGGCUCCCUGUGCGCCCCUGCUCUGUUUGCCUUCAGUUAAUAUUCAAGCAAACAGAAUGAGUUAUGAGGAGGAAUGUCCAUGGAAACAGUGAAUUUUAAGGCAUUCUUGUAAAAUAUUCAUAGAAAGCAAAUUUUGAAUUAAUACAGAAUGUGUGCACUGAAGACCUGGUGCUAAGAGUCAUCUACUCAGGGAACGGAAAUAAUCCCCUAUGACCUAUACGGCCAAUAAAGCAGCUUGACUUUUGAAUUCUCGCAGUAAACUGCCUGUGAACAAGACACAGGCCAAGAAUUAUUUGCAGAAAUUAUUCAUUAAGGGCCUAAUCCAAAACCCAGCGAAGUCAGUGGAAAUAUCCCCCCGUGUUAGGCCCCAAAUAAUUUUGGAUAAUGAAUACAUUGGAGAAAACAGUGAUCCUUUCCCGGAUAACUCAACGACCAGAAAAAAAAGAAGCAAACUUCACCGAGCAAAGUUAUGGGCUGUAAAUAACCGACGGAGCGGCUCUCACCCCCGCUGCAUCUGCUCUCCUCCGGCUGCAGCUUCACAGCAUCACUUUCCCUGCGUCUGCAGCUCUCGUGGGGACCAGCAUGGGACACCUCCUAGAAGCAUAGAAUCAUUAAGGCUGGAAAAGACCUCUAAGCUCACGCAGUCCAUCCAUCAGCCCAACCCCACCUUGCCACCUCGACCAUGUUCCCACGUGCCACAUCUACCGCUCCAGCGAUGGAGACUCCACCACUGCUCUGGGCAGCCUCUGCCAGGACUUCACGAGUGCUUCUUGUGGGGACAACACUAACCUGGUCCCAUGCACCCUCUUCCACAUGGUGCCAUGGCAUUCCUGAGGAAAAUGGAUAGGAUAAGGCCAAAUCCUGCAUUCUCGCUGCCGCCCCCCCCGUAACACACAGCUCAUCCCUUCCCAAGAAAAUCAGACCAGAGAGACAAUUAUUUGUUGUGUCUUCUCCAAGUAUCUAAUUGCAAAGCACCCCGGGAGUGUUGGGAGGAAUUGUAUGGCAACAAAAUAGGUGAUUAUUGUUAUUGUUGUUAGCAUUAUUAUUACUAUUCCUGUUAUAACAUGGCAGU